This 588-nucleotide ribosomal RNA is filed under the name Trichophyton tonsurans. RNAcentral's name for it is "partial large subunit ribosomal RNA". It matches the Rfam family "Eukaryotic large subunit ribosomal RNA", at positions 30 to 626 of the family's 3401-position model. Lineage: Eukaryota; Fungi; Ascomycota; Eurotiomycetes; Onygenales; Arthrodermataceae. The record is from RNAcentral.
AAAAAAAAUUGCAUAUCAAAAAGCGGAGGAAAAGAAACCAACAGGGAUUGCCCCAGUAACGGCGAGUGAAGCGGCAAGAGCUCAAAUUUGAAAUCUGGCCUCCCCCGGGGGCCCGAGUUGUAAUUUGCAGAGGAUGUUUCGGGUGCGGCCGCCGUCUAAGUUCCUUGGAACAGGACGUCAGAGAGGGUGAGAAUCCCGUCUUGGGCGGGCGGUCCGCGCCCGUGUGAAGCUCCUUCGACGAGUCGAGUUGUUUGGGAAUGCAGCUCUAAGCGGGUGGUAAAUUUCAUCUAAAGCUAAAUAUUGGCCGGAGACCGAUAGCGCACAAGUAGAGUGAUCGAAAGGUUAAAAGCACCUUGAAAAGGGAGUUAAACAGCACGUGAAAUUGUUGAAAGGGAAGCGCUUGCGGCCAGACUCGGGGGCGGGGUUCAGCGGGUGCUCGUCGCCCGUGUAUUCCUCGUUUCCCGGGCCAGCAUCAGUUUCGACGGCCGGUCAAAGGCCCCCGGAAUGUGUCGUCUCUCGGGACGUCUUAUAGCCGGGGGUGCAAUGCGGCCCGUCGGGACUGAGGAACGCGCUCCGGGCUCGGGAUGC